RNAcentral lists this ribosomal RNA (253 nucleotides) under uncultured bacterium. RNAcentral's name for it is "partial 16S ribosomal RNA". It matches the Rfam family "Bacterial small subunit ribosomal RNA", at positions 524 to 776 of the family's 1533-position model. The record is from RNAcentral.
UACGAAGGGGGCGAGCGUUGUUCGGAUUUACUGGGCGUAAAGGGCGCGCAGGCGGUCAUUUUUGUCGAGUGUGAAAGCCCCGGGCUCAACCUGGGAACUGCAUUUGAAACUGGCGGGCUUGAGUAUGGCAGAGGGGGGUGGAAUUCCGCGUGUAGCAGUGAAAUGCGUAGAGAUCGGGAGGAACACCGGUGGCGAAGGCGGGUCUCUGGGCAAUUCCUGACGCUGAGGCGCGAAAGCGUGGGGAGCAAACGGG